Equus caballus (horse) is the source of this 1726-nucleotide long non-coding RNA. NCBI's taxonomy places the organism in Eukaryota, Metazoa, Chordata, Mammalia, Perissodactyla, Equidae. The record is from Ensembl.
CUUCAACUCAACUAUAUUCCGACUGGAGGGAAAUCAAAAACUACUGUCAUCAUAAUUUCUUGAAGGCUUCACUUUGUGCCAGAUCCUGUGCCGACUGCUUUGCACCAACUGUCUCGUUUAAUCCUCACAUCCAAAAGAAGGAUUCUCUAGGUAAUGACAUGACCUUUGGACAAGAUUUCAAGGUUUAACACAUUCCAGUGGAGAUGCAGAUCCCAGUAUCACAGAACGUGAAAAACACUGAGUCCUGCCAAAUGUAUUAAAACACUAAUUAUGGAUCCUCACAAUCUCUUGGCCUGUUUUCUCAGAGGAGGGAAAACCCAGCGUGAAAAACCGUUGAUGAGAUGUCUGCAGAGGAGGACUACGUCUGGUCUUUAAGGCCGGGAACUAUCCCAGUAGAUUCUGAGUCAGUGGGUCCAGAGUAGGCCUUGAGCGUCUCUGUUCUUUUCCAAAGCCCCACAGGCUACACUUCCGCGCCCUGGAGUUGGGAAGUACAGUCAUGCCCUACAGCGGGACGUUCAGUCAACAACGGGGGUCCCAUCAGAUUAGUCCCAUAUGGCCUAGGUGUGUAGGAGGCUCUGCCAUCCAGGUUUAGGAACUCCGUGGGGUUUGCACAGUCUCGAGAUUGCCUGACCAUGACACACUCCUCAGAACUUAUCCCCACCGUUAAGCAAAGCAUGACUAUACUGCCUUGGAUUCUCCACGGUCCCACACCCUGCACUCUUUAGAUGACUGCACACGCAGAGGGCACCGUGUCUGAGGCAGAGAGCAGCUGGAAUCACAAAAGCUCUCGACAGAGAGUCAAGGAAAGGCGUGCUCUGCUUACACGACUCUCUACUUUUCUCUGGGUCCCAACCAUUUCAUAGCUAAUCUGCUUUUUGUAACCGAGCAGCUUUGCCAAAAAAAAAAAAAAAAAAAAGAAAACAGAAAGGUUACCAACAAACACUAAACAAACCAAUAUAAACAAUACAUAUUAAAUAAGCCUAACCCUACUAUGCUACUGAAAAGGUUUUUAUUUCCCUGGGAUAAAUUUGGACAGCAUUAGAUUGUUUUACCAAGAGCAGCCAAGUCGAGGGAGAUUAUUUCUAAUUCCACAGUGCUGCAGAUGCGGUCAGUAGCAACCGCAGGCCGGAAAGGAAACAAAGCAAAGUUGGGUGUAAUCCAUUCAAGUUCACACGUUUCACCAGGGACAGCCUCCAAGCCUUGAAUACUUAGGUAUGCAUUUAUCCAUUUCUUUAAUCAACCACUACUAACGCCUACUAAAGGCCAGACACUGCUCUAAGUACUUUACGGAUAUGAAAUAUCCUCUAACCUUUACACUCACCUACGCAGUGUGUAUGAUAAUCAACCCCGUUUUACAGAUCAGGAAACUGACACACAGAAUGGUACAGUAACUUGCCCAAGUUCACACAGUCCGUAGGUGGCAGAGCCAGGACCCAUUUGACAGAGUCUGGCUCCGGAGGCCACGUUCUGAAUCACCACGCUCAGUCUCCAAAAACCUAUAGAAAGCGCCAGCCUCAAUCGGAAAGUUUGGUUUUCCCCACCCUACAGUCCCUACGCGGCCCCAGUCUCCAGGGCAUUCUUUCAGCUCCUCUGACAGGCCCUACUCCUCCCUUGCCCUGUCCCAACACUCUCCCGCACAAGUCCUCCUUUUCUUUUAGGCAUCUGCUCUCAGCUUCAACAUCACUGCCUGAGUCACAAAGUCUAACAGGAAAUGCCGUAUUUCUCA